GAUAAACGCUGGCGGCGUGCAUAACACAUGCAAGUCGAACGAUGAAGCUUAACUGAUUUCUUCGGAAUGAUUUUAAGUGGAUUAGUGGCGGACGGGUGAGUAACGCUUGAGUAACCUGCCUUGCACAAGGGGAUAGCCGUUGGAAACGACGAAUAAUACCCUAUGAUAUAAACUCUUCGCAUGAAGGGCUUAUCAAAGAUUUAUCGGUGUAAGAUGGACUCGCGUCUGAUUAGCUAGUUGGUGGGGUAACAGCCUACCAAGGCAACGAUCAGUAGCCGGCUUGAGAGAGUGUACGGCCACAUUGGGACUGAGACACGGCCCAGACUCCUACGGGAGGCAGCAGUGGGGAAGUUGGCACAAUGGGGGAAACCCUGAGGCAGCGACGCCGCGUGAUUUAGAAGGCCUUCGGGUUGUAAAAAUCUUUUGUAUGGGAAGAAAAUGACAGUACCAUACGAAUAAGGACCGGCUAAUUACGUG
RNAcentral lists this ribosomal RNA (477 nucleotides) under uncultured bacterium. RNAcentral's name for it is "partial 16S ribosomal RNA". It matches the Rfam family "Bacterial small subunit ribosomal RNA", at positions 28 to 507 of the family's 1533-position model. The record is from RNAcentral.